Molecule: long non-coding RNA, 1526 nt
Organism: Osmerus eperlanus (European smelt)
Lineage: Eukaryota; Metazoa; Chordata; Actinopteri; Osmeriformes; Osmeridae
Exons: 3
Source: RefSeq, a predicted model, not a curated record
AGAGUAUAUUCUUGUAUGGAUUAUAAUAUUUUCGGGGAAACCCAAUUUAAUAGGCCAUUAAUUUUUCCAGCCAAAAAUAGAACUCUAGCGUCAACACGUUCCAAUCAAAUGAAAGAUGCAGCCUAGAUUACUGUCAUUCGGUACUCGACGCGAUGUCAAGGGUUUCCUUUGUAUUAUCUGUUACUGCCAUUCUAUCCUAGAUGACCUUUUCCUUCUCACUCAUAUCUGUCCUUGUGUGUGUUUGGUGAGAGUGUGUGUUUCAGUACCCUGCCCCACUUCUUUCUCACCUUCAGCUGACUUUGUCUCAGUGGGGAGUGGCUGUGCCAGGGCAAGCGCAAAGCUGCCCCCCUGUGGCAUGUUACUGACAGAACAGUGGAGGUUACAGUGUUUACGUUGGAGCGUAUGCAUGACUGCUAACGAGACAGCGGGGAGCAGAGGGAGCAUACGAGGGUAAAGGCUGCCUUGGACGUGACCUCAGCAUCCUCACCCCGCCCACAACCCCCUCCCCAGAACAAGAUGGGACCCCCAAACCAGGACCCCAGCACCAGGAUAGUACUACAGGAACACAGCCAAUGAGACACUGUCAUCUCAACCAGACUCUGUACUGCUAUAGCCAUGGCGAUCCUUCUGGAUCCAAAACACUUCUUUUUCCAGAAUUCCGGACUAUUCUCUAUCUAAUGGUACUGUGUGGGACAGUAUGAACCUGUAUAGAGUUAGGUUGAACUCCAAUAAGCAGUAAAUGGAAUUGUCUGCGUUGUGUACAUGACAGAAGCAUGACUCUAUAGAACAACACCUAUUUUGGACUGUUAGCCACAUGCCUUUGUUAGCUCUUGUGCUCUUGUAUUGCGAACAUGUGAAAUAUACACUAUCGCGUAAGCUGACUGUUUUAUGCUACAUGCUCGGGUGCACACUCAUAACGAAGGGGGUGCUAGCCACAGAUCGUUCGCAAGAGUGAUGAAGAACAACCCUAAAACCCUGCCUUAUAUAAACUUAGAACAAAUGGUUCUUCUGAUGGUCAAUCCAUCAAUGUAGCAAACUCUGUGAUUGGUCAGCACUGCUCAGUGACAGUUUGACUCCAUACCAAGUGUCCCACAGUUCUUUGAUGUGGCAUCUCUCCCCAAACCAGUAGAUACUAAAGCCACAGGAGUUCACCAGUCAAAUGGUCAACUGUCCUUUCUGUGGACAUCUUCAAACAAGUAUUUAAUUAAAACCACCCAUGCAACAGGAAGGGUCAGAGCAGCUUGAUCAGUUCAUCUAUCUUAAACUACUCCCUCAGAUCACAAUACAAUUGAAUCCACAUUGUCUCCAGACCAGCUGUCUCAUCCUCCCCAGGUGUCAUAAACUGCAAAUGGCCAUCUCUACCAAAUGGAGUUGAUUCAACAUUCAUUGUAUCAAGCUUCUUAACCUUUUCAUGUUCCUGUUAAAUUUGCCUGAAAACGCCUAAACAGCAUACCCAAAGUAAAUUGGAAGCUGUUCUUGAACCAUUUGGAGUACAUGCAUGUAAAUGAUCUCUUUUGAAAGCUGAC